Hypomesus transpacificus is the source of this 514-nucleotide long non-coding RNA. RefSeq lists it as uncharacterized. The transcript is spliced from 4 exons. The record is from RefSeq and is a predicted model, not a curated record. Lineage: Eukaryota; Metazoa; Chordata; Actinopteri; Osmeriformes; Osmeridae.
GAAGGAAAGCGUGGCGUUGAAGCCCCUGCGCGUGACCGAGCCAUCAGAGCUGAACUGCAGCACCAUCACGCUGUCGUAGGGUCAUGGGAUUGCUGGGUGUCUCCUGACUGCCUCUCGUCAGUCCUCAGAGAGGAAGAGAGAGAAUAACAGAGACAGAAGGAGAAUGUGAUGGAGAGAGAGUGAGGGUGACCGAGGCACUGAACCUGAGGGCAAAUCCUCUUCCUGUCACUGUGACAUCAGAGGCGAAGAGCACAGAUGCACCAUGGGAGUGGAGCAGCACGGGUCCAGGGAGGGGCUUCCGCAGCUGUCUGUUCGGUCUGCUACACAAACCCUCACACCCGACCAUCCCUCCCCAGAGCCAAACAAGGACAAACAAGCUCACAUGGACACAGUGAGAUCUUACUGGGAUUCAAGCAUUCAACCUACUAUGUGUCCUCAUGGGAGCUUCCAGGCCCCUGAUGGUGGUCUUGAUCCAGGGCAGGAGCAGGCUGACGUCAGUGAAGACCCCCGGGGA